UACGGGGGGGGCAAGCGUUGUUCGGAAUUACUGGGCGUAAAGGGUUCGUAGGUGGCUCGCUAAGUCAGACGUGAAAUCCCUCAGCUUAACUGGGGAACUGCGUCUGAGACUGGCGAGCUCGAGUGCAGGAGAGGAACGCGGAAUUCCAGGUGUAGCGGUGAAAUGCGUAGAUAUCUAGAGGAACACCGGUGGCGAAGGCGGCGUUCUGGACUGCAACUGACACUGAGGGAACGAAAGCCAGGGGAGCAAACGGG
This 254-nucleotide ribosomal RNA is filed under the name uncultured bacterium. RNAcentral describes it as "partial 16S ribosomal RNA". It matches the Rfam family "Bacterial small subunit ribosomal RNA", at positions 524 to 776 of the family's 1533-position model. The record is from RNAcentral.